ACCCGCACAAGCGGUGGAGUAUAGUGGUUUAAUUCGAUGCAACGCGAAGAACCUUACCUGGUCUUGACAUCCCAGAAAUCCCUUGGAAACUUGGGAGUGCUUCCAUUAGGAAGAAUCUGGAGACAGGUGCUGCAUGGCUGUCGUCAGCUCGUGUCGUGAGAUGUUCGGUUAAGUCCGCUAACGAGCGCAACCCUCGCUGUGUGUUACAAGUGUCACACAGUACUGCCGAUAUUAAGUCGGAGGAAGGUGGGGAUGACGUCAAGUCAGCAUGACCUUUAUAUCCAGGGCUACACACACGCCACAAUGGCCAGUACAAUGGGUUGCCAAGCCGCGAGGCGGAGCCAAUCCUAAAAAGCUGGCCUCAGUUCAGAUUGCAGUCUGCAACUCGACUGCAUGAAGUUGGAGUUGCUAGUAACCGCAGGUCAGCAAUACUGCGGUGAAUACGUUCCCGGGGAUU
This 457-nucleotide ribosomal RNA is filed under the name uncultured Anaerolineaceae bacterium. Its description in RNAcentral is "bacterial SSU rRNA". It matches the Rfam family "Bacterial small subunit ribosomal RNA", at positions 920 to 1378 of the family's 1533-position model. The record is from RNAcentral. Lineage: Bacteria; Bacillati; Chloroflexota; Anaerolineae; Anaerolineales; Anaerolineaceae.